This 468-nucleotide ribosomal RNA is filed under the name uncultured bacterium. RNAcentral describes it as "partial 16S ribosomal RNA". It matches the Rfam family "Bacterial small subunit ribosomal RNA", at positions 28 to 507 of the family's 1533-position model. The record is from RNAcentral.
GACGAACGCUGGCGGCGUGCUUAACACAUGCAAGUCGAACGGAAAGGCCCUGCUUUUGUGGGGUGCUCGAGUGGCGAACGGGUGAGUAACACGUGAGUAACCUGCCCUUGACUUUGGGAUAACUUCAGGAAACUGGGGCUAAUACCGGAUAGGAGCUCCUGCUGCAUGGUGGGGGCUGGAAAGUUUCGGCGGUUGGGGAUGGACUCGCGGCUUAUCAGCUUGUUGGAGGGGUAGUGGCUUACCAAGGCUUUGACAGGUAGCCGGCCUGAGAGGGUGACCGGCCACAUUGGGACUGAGAUACGGCCCAGACUCCUACGGGAGGCAGCAGUGGGGAAUAUUGCACUAUGGGCGGAAGCCUGAUGCAGCAACGCCGCGUGCGGGAUGACGGCCUUCGGGUUGUAUUCCGCUUUCGCCUGUGACGAAGCGUGAGUGACGGUAAUGGGUAAAGAAGCACCGGCUAACUCCGUG